GUAGGGAAUAUUGGUCAAUGGACGGAAGUCUGAACCAGCCAUUCCGCGUGCAGGAAGAAGAUUCUAUGGAUUGUAAACUGCUUUUAGCAGAGAAGAAACGCCUUCAUUGAUGAGGGUUUGACGGUAUCUGCGGAAUAAGCACCGGCUAACUCCGUGCCAGCAGCCGCGGUAAUACGGGGGGUGCAAGCGUUAUCCGGAAUCACUGGGUUUAAAGGGUGCGUAGGCGGGAAAUUAAGUCAGUGGUGAAAGUCUGUUGCUUAACGAUAGAAUUGCCGUUGAUACUGAUUUUCUUGAAUUGGGUUGAGGUUAGCGGAAUGUGACAUGUAGCGGUGAAAUGCAUAGAUAUGUCAUGGAACACCAAUUGCGAAGGCAGCUAGCUGGGCCUUGAUUGACGCUGAGGCACGAAAGCGUGGGUAGCGAACAGGAUUAGAAACCCUAGUAGUCC
RNAcentral lists this ribosomal RNA (445 nucleotides) under uncultured bacterium. RNAcentral's name for it is "partial 16S ribosomal RNA". It matches the Rfam family "Bacterial small subunit ribosomal RNA", at positions 354 to 796 of the family's 1533-position model. The record is from RNAcentral.